UUAGCGAGGAAUCAACAACUCCUGAAAAACCAACUUUUUUAUUCGGGCGAAUUUUGGAAUUUGGAAACUACAGCUAUUGCACUAUCAGACGUUCAGGAUACCAUCUACAUCACGGGCAUUUCCACCUUCUCGUCAACCCUGAACCUGCCAUGUUUGAUGCCCUGUAUUCUAAUUCUUUAAUCAUCCAUGGUUAUAGCGUCAGGUUUCAUCAAGCAGCCCCUCUCUGCUUAAGAAGCCAACAGCUGAAGAAAGUUGCAGUCAAGAUUUCGAGCCUUGCUCUAGCCUUGAAGUCUGUGAUGCUGAAGCUGCGAGAGGGACCA
This is a long non-coding RNA of Acanthaster planci (crown-of-thorns starfish), 320 nucleotides long. RefSeq lists it as uncharacterized. Lineage: Eukaryota; Metazoa; Echinodermata; Asteroidea; Valvatida; Acanthasteridae. The record is from RefSeq and is a predicted model, not a curated record.